GAGGAAUAUUGGUCAAUGGACGUAAGUCUGAACCAGCCAAGUCGCGUGAGGGAAGACUGCCCUAUGGGUUGUAAACCUCUUUUAUAAGGGAAGAAUAAGUUCUACGUGUAGAAUGAUGCCUGUACCUUAUGAAUAAGCAUCGGCUAACUCCGUGCCAGCAGCCGCGGUAAUACGGAGGAUGCGAGCGUUAUCCGGAUUUAUUGGGUUUAAAGGGUGCGUAGGCGGUUUAUUAAGUUAGUGGUUAAAUAUUUGAGCUAAACUCAAUUGUGCCAUUAAUACUGGUAAACUGGAGUACAGACGAGGUAGGCGGAAUAAGUUAAGUAGCGGUGAAAUGCAUAGAUAUAACUUAGAACUCCGAUAGCGAAGGCAGCUUACCAGACUGUAACUGACGCUGAUGCACGAGAGCGUGGGUAGCGAACAGGAUUAGAUACCCUGGUAGUCCACGCCGUAAACGAUGCUCACUGGUUCUGUGCGAUAUAUUGUACGGGAUUAAGCGAAAGUAUUAAGUGAGCCACCUGGGGAGUACGUCGGCAACGAUGAAACUCAAAGGAAUUGACGGGGGCCCGCACAAGCGGAGGAACAUGUGGUUUAAUUCGAUGAUACGCGAGGAACCUUACCUGGGUUUAAAUGGGAAAUGUCGUAUUUGGAAACAGAUAUUCUCUUCGGAGCGUUUUUCAAGGUGCUGCAUGGUUGUCGUCAGCUCGUGCCGUGAGGUGUCGGGUUAAGUCCCAUAACGAGCGCAACCCUUACCGUUAGUUGCUAGCAUGUAAUGAUGAGCACUCUAACGGGACUGCCACCGUAAGGUGAGAGGAAGGCGGGGAUGACGUCAAAUCAGCACGGCCCUUACACCCAGGGCUACACACGUGUUACAAUGGCCGGUACAGAGGGCCGCUACCAGGUGACUGGAUGCCAAUCUCAAAAGCCGGUCGUAGUUCGGAUUGGAGUCUGUAACCCGACUCCAUGAAGUUGGAUUCGCUAGUAAUCGCGCAUCAGCCAUGGCGCGGUGAAUACGUUCCCG
Molecule: ribosomal RNA, 1018 nt
Filed under: uncultured organism
Description: bacterial SSU rRNA
Rfam family: Bacterial small subunit ribosomal RNA
Source: RNAcentral